GUGAGGAAUAUUGGGCAAUGGGCGAAAGCCUGACCCAGCCACGCCGCGUGAGUGAUGAAGGCCUUCGGAUUGUAAAGCUCUGUGGGGAGGGAAGAAAAAGCGGGAGAGUAACUGCUCUCGUGUUGACGGUACCUCCUUAGCAAGCACCGGCUAACUCUGUGCCAGCAGCCGCGGUAAUACAGAGGGUGCAAACGUUGCUCGGAAUUACUGGGCGUAAAGCGCGUGUAGGCUGACAUGCAAGUCGGGUGUGAAAUCCCAGGGCUCAACCUUGGAACUGCACUCGAAACUGCACGUCUUGAGUACUGGAGAGGGAAGCGGAAUUCCGGGUGUAGAGGUGAAAUUCGUAGAUAUCCGGAGGAACACCAGUGGCGAAGGCGGCUUCCUGGACAGUAACUGACGCUGAGACGCGAAAGCGUGGGGAGCAAACAGGAUUAGAAACCCGUGUAGUCC
Molecule: ribosomal RNA, 450 nt
Filed under: uncultured bacterium
Lineage: Bacteria
Description: partial 16S ribosomal RNA
Rfam family: Bacterial small subunit ribosomal RNA
Source: RNAcentral